RNAcentral lists this ribosomal RNA (849 nucleotides) under Alternaria cantlous. Its description in RNAcentral is "eukaryotic LSU rRNA". It matches the Rfam family "Eukaryotic large subunit ribosomal RNA", at positions 68 to 935 of the family's 3401-position model. The record is from RNAcentral. Lineage: Eukaryota; Fungi; Ascomycota; Dothideomycetes; Pleosporales; Pleosporaceae.
ACAGGGAUUGCCCUAGUAACGGCGAGUGAAGCGGCAACAGCUCAAAUUUGAAAUCUGGCUCUUUUAGAGUCCGAGUUGUAAUUUGCAGAGGGCGCUUUGGCUUUGGCAGCGGUCCAAGUUCCUUGGAACAGGACGUCACAGAGGGUGAGAAUCCCGUACGUGGUCGCUGGCUAUUGCCGUGUAAAGCCCCUUCGACGAGUCGAGUUGUUUGGGAAUGCAGCUCUAAAUGGGAGGUACAUUUCUUCUAAAGCUAAAUAUUGGCCAGAGACCGAUAGCGCACAAGUAGAGUGAUCGAAAGAUGAAAAGCACUUUGGAAAGAGAGUCAAACAGCACGUGAAAUUGUUAAAAGGGAAGCGCUUGCAGCCAGACUUGCUUGCAGUUGCUCAUCCGGGCUUUUGCCCGGUGCACUCUUCUGUAGGCAGGCCAGCAUCAGUUUGGGCGGUAGGAUAAAGGUCUCUGUCACGUACCUCCUUUCGGGGAGGCCUUAUAGGGGAGACGACAUACUACCAGCCUGGACUGAGGUCCGCGCAUCUGCUAGGAUGCUGGCGUAAUGGCUGUAAGCGGCCCGUCUUGAAACACGGACCAAGGAGUCUAACAUCUAUGCGAGUGUUUGGGUGUCAAGCCCGAGCGCGUAAUGAAAGUGAACGGAGGUGGGAACCCGCAAGGGUGCACCAUCGACCGAUCCUGAUGUCUUCGGAAGGAUUUGAGUAAGAGCAUGGCUGUUGGGACCCGAAAGAUGGUGAACUAUGCUUGAAUAGGGUGAAGCCAGAGGAAACUCUGGUGGAGGCUCGCAGCGGUUCUGACGUGCAAAUCGAUCGUCAAAUUUGGGCAUAGGGGCGAAAGACUAAU